CUACGGGACGCACCAGUGGGGAAUAUUGGACAAUGGGGGAAACCCUGAUCCAGCAAUGCCGCGUGAGCGACGACGGCCCUAGGGUUGUAAAGCUCUUUCAGCAGGGAAGAUAAUGACGGUACCUGCAGAAGAAGUCCCGGCUAACUCCGUGCCAGCAGCCGCGGUAAUACGGAGGGGACUAGCGUUGUUCGGAAUUACUGGGCGUAAAGCGCGCGUAGGCGGAUUGUUAAGUCGGGGGUGAAAUCCCGGGGCUCAACCCCGGAACUGCCCUCGAUACUGGCAGUCUUGAGUUCGAGAGAGGUGAGUGGAAUUCCGAGUGUAGAGGUGAAAUUCGUAGAUAUUCGGAGGAACACCAGUGGCGAAGGCGGCUCACUGGCUCGAUACUGACGCUGAGGUGCGAAAGCGUGGGGAGCAAACAGGAUUAGAUACCCGCGUAGUC
RNAcentral lists this ribosomal RNA (439 nucleotides) under uncultured bacterium. Its description in RNAcentral is "partial 16S ribosomal RNA". It matches the Rfam family "Bacterial small subunit ribosomal RNA", at positions 339 to 795 of the family's 1533-position model. The record is from RNAcentral.